UACAGAGGGUGCGAGCGUUAAUCGGAUUUACUGGGCGUAAAGCGUGUGUAGGUGGUGACGUAAGUCGGGUGUGAAAUCCCUGGGCUCAACCUGGGAACUGCAUUCGAUACUGCGUGACUAGAGUGCGGCAGAGGGUGGCGGAACUCCCGGUGUAGCGGUGAAAUGCGUAGAUAUCCGGAAGAACAUCAAUGGCGAAGGCAGUCACCUGGGCCUGUACUGACACUGAGACAAGAAAGCGUGGGGAUCAAACAGG
Molecule: ribosomal RNA, 253 nt
Filed under: uncultured bacterium
Lineage: Bacteria
Description: partial 16S ribosomal RNA
Rfam family: Bacterial small subunit ribosomal RNA
Source: RNAcentral